GACGGAGGGGGCUAGCGUUGUUCGGAAUGACUGGGCGUAAAGGGCGCGUAGGCGGACUGCACAGUCAGGCGUGAAAUUCCUGGGCUUAACCUGGGGACUGCGUCUGAGACGUGUGAUCUAGAGUGAGGAAGAGGGUCGUGGAAUUUCCAGUGUAGAGGUGAAAUUCGUAGAUAUUGGAAAGAACACCGGUGGCGAAGGCGGCGACCUGGUCCUUGACUGACGCUGAGGCGCGAAAGCGUGGGGAGCAAACAGG
Molecule: ribosomal RNA, 253 nt
Filed under: uncultured bacterium
Lineage: Bacteria
Description: partial 16S ribosomal RNA
Rfam family: Bacterial small subunit ribosomal RNA
Source: RNAcentral